RNAcentral lists this ribosomal RNA (258 nucleotides) under uncultured bacterium. RNAcentral's name for it is "partial small subunit ribosomal RNA". It matches the Rfam family "Bacterial small subunit ribosomal RNA", at positions 26 to 285 of the family's 1533-position model. The record is from RNAcentral.
AGAAUCAACGCUGGCGGCGUGCCUAACACAUGCAAGUCGAACGAGAAAGUGGAGCAAUCCAUGAGUAAAGUGGCGACCGGGUGAGUAACACGUGACUAACCUACCUUCGAGUGGGGAUAACCUCGGGAAACCGGGCUAAUACCGCAUAACAUCUUUGAAGUGGAAAUUUCGGAGAUCAAAGGAGCAAUUCGCUGGAAGAGGGGGUCGCGGCUGAUUAGCUAGUUGGCGGGUAACGGCCCACCAAGGCUUAGAUCGGUA